This is a long non-coding RNA of Pongo pygmaeus (Bornean orangutan), 922 nucleotides long. RefSeq lists it as uncharacterized. The transcript is spliced from 3 exons. The record is from RefSeq and is a predicted model, not a curated record. Lineage: Eukaryota; Metazoa; Chordata; Mammalia; Primates; Hominidae.
AAGCUCUACUGAUAAUACCAGCUUUAACUACUGGAGUUUCCCUUUGAACAAAUAUUCAAUUUAACUGGAGUUAAUUUACCAUAAAAGACAUUCCCCUUGGCAGGAAUGCACUAAUGUCCUUGAACACACCUCUUUGAAUGCCUGGACUCUCAUAGAAGCCAUUAUUUCGGGGUCUCUUUAAAAAUCGAGCGCCCAUCUCUCCUUCUCUCCCUCCCUCCCUUCUUCCCUCCCUCCUCACCACACCACCCCCAGUGAAAUCCUGGCACCCAGAGAGCACUCCUUUCAGCCUGAGAGCCCAGAACCAGCCGUUGUCCCCUGGCAAAAAGAGGCCCAGGGCUGAGCCCUGGGCAAGUGUCUCCCGACAUCGCUACCCCUCCUCCCUUUAUUAGUUUCCCUUUCCCAACAAAAACCAUUGCCUUCUGCCACCAAAACUAGGUUGCAUCCAAAAGUUUUUCACAAGCUUAAAAAAGAAAAACGAAAAAUUGACAAGUAUUACACAGAAGAGCCCACAAAAGCUUCAGCAACACCAAGGGCGAAGAAGCAGCGUCAGAUCCAGGUCUGCAGGACACACCAAAGAAGUCCUCCAAGUCACACAAGGGAGAAAAUUAACUUCAUUGGCUUCUAUCAGGAAAGCUAUUUUUUUUUCCUCUUCUUUCCUGCAAGUUUCCCAAACCCCAUGACUCUGAUUUCCAGGAUAAAGGCAGAAGCAAUUUGACACAGACACACCAAAGAGACAUAAAGAUAAGAUGAGGAAGCAAUGGCCACACAGGCCGAGAUUGCAGUGAUGUGGCCAAAAACCAAGGAAUACCUGGAGGCACCAGAAGCUGGAUGAGAAAGAAACAAAAUCUCCCCCAGAGCUUCCAGAGGUAGCAUGACCCUGCUGACACCUUGACUUUGGAUUAGUGGCCUCCAUAAAUAUGAG